CCUACGGGUGGCAGCAGUGGGGAAUAUUGCACAAUGGGGGCAACCCUGAUGCAGCGACGCCGCGUGAGUGAAGAAGUAAUUCGUUACGUAAAGCUCUAUCAGCAGGGAAGAAACACUGACCUUACGGUCAGCAGACGGUCCCUGAGUAAGAAGCCCCGGCUAACUACGUGCCAGCAGCCGCGGUAAUACGUAGGGGGCAAGCGUUAUCCGGAUUUACUGGGUGGAAAGGGAGCGUAGACGGUGCGCCAAGUCUGGAGUGAAAUGCAGCCGCUGAACUGCUGAACUGCUUUGGAAACUGGCGAACUAGAGUGCUGGAGGGGUAGGCGGAAUUCCUAGUGUAGCGGUGAAAUGCGUAGAUAUUAGGAGGAACACCAGUGGCGAAGGCGGCUUGCUGGACCGUAACUGACGUUGAGGCUCGAAAGUGUGGGGAGCAAACAGGAUUAGAUACCCCGGUAGUC
Molecule: ribosomal RNA, 458 nt
Filed under: uncultured bacterium
Lineage: Bacteria
Description: partial 16S ribosomal RNA
Rfam family: Bacterial small subunit ribosomal RNA
Source: RNAcentral